GACGAACGCUGGCGGCGUGCCUAAUACAUGCAAGUAGAACGCACAGUUUAUACCGUAGCUUGCUACACCAUAGACUGUGAGUUGCGAACGGGUGAGUAACGCGUAGGUAACCUGCCUGGUAGCGGGGGAUAACUAUUGGAAACGAUAGCUAAUACCGCAUAAUAUUAAUUAUUGCAUGAUAAUUAAUUGAAAGGUGCAAUUGCACCACUACCAGAUGGACCUGCGUUGUAUUAGCUAGUAGGUGAGGUAACGGCUCACCUAGGCGACGAUACAUAGCCGACCUGAGAGGGUGAUCGGCCACACUGGGACUGAGACACGGCCCAGACUCCUACGGGAGGCAGCAGUGGGGAAUCUUCGGCAAUGGACGAAAGUCUGACCGAGCAACGCCGCGUGAGUGAAGAAGGUUUUCGGAUCGUAAAGCUCUGUUGUAAGAGAAGAACGGGUGUGAGAGUGGAAAGUUCACACUGUGACGGUAUCUUACCAGAAAGGGACGGCUAACUACGUG
RNAcentral lists this ribosomal RNA (505 nucleotides) under uncultured bacterium. RNAcentral describes it as "partial 16S ribosomal RNA". It matches the Rfam family "Bacterial small subunit ribosomal RNA", at positions 28 to 507 of the family's 1533-position model. The record is from RNAcentral.